Molecule: ribosomal RNA, 171 nt
Filed under: uncultured bacterium
Lineage: Bacteria
Description: partial 16S ribosomal RNA
Rfam family: Bacterial small subunit ribosomal RNA
Source: RNAcentral
CACGCUGUAAACGAUGAGAACUAGAUGUUGGGAGGGUUUUGCCUCUCAGUGUCGCAGCUAACGCGCUAAGUUCUCCGCCUGGGGANCAACGCGAAGAACCUUACCUGGUCUUGACAUCCCGGGAACCCCGCAGAGAUGUGGGGGUGCCUUCGGGAACCCGGAGACAGGUGC